This 484-nucleotide ribosomal RNA is filed under the name uncultured bacterium. RNAcentral's name for it is "partial 16S ribosomal RNA". It matches the Rfam family "Bacterial small subunit ribosomal RNA", at positions 30 to 507 of the family's 1533-position model. The record is from RNAcentral.
AUUGAACGCUGGCGGCAGGCCUAACACAUGCAAGUCGAGCGGAUGAAGGGAGCUUGCUCCUGGAUUCAGCGGCGGACGGGUGAGUAAUGCCUAGGAAUCUGCCUGGUAGUGGGGGAUAACGUCCGGAAACGGGCGCUAAUACCGCAUACGUCCUGAGGGAGAAAGUGGGGGAUCUUCGGACCUUACGCUAUCAGAUGAGCCUAGGUCGGAUUAGCUAGUUGGUGGGGUAAAGGCCUACCAAGGCGACGAUCCGUAACUGGUCUGAGAGGAUGAUCAGUCACACUGGAACUGAGACACGGUCCAGACUCCUACGGGAGGCAGCAGUGGGGAAUAUUGGACAAUGGGCGAAAGCCUGAUCCAGCCAUGCCGCGUGUGUGAAGAAGGUCUUCGGAUUGUAAAGCACUUUAAGUGGGGAGGAAGGGCAGUAAGUUAAUACCUUGCUGUUUUGACGGUACCAACAGAAUAAGCACCGGCUAACUUCGUG